AUUGAACGCUGGCGGCAGGCCUAACACAUGCAAGUCGAGCGGAUGAAGGGAGCUUGCUCCUGGAUUCAGCGGCGGACGGGUGAGUAAUGCCUAGGAAUCUGCCUGGUAGUGGGGGAUAACGUCCGGAAACGGGCGCUAAUACCGCAUACGUCCUGAGGGAGAAAGUGGGGGAUCUUCGGACCUCACGCUAUCAGAUGAGCCUAGGUCGGAUUAGCUAGUUGGUGGGGUAAAGGCCUACCAAGGCGACGAUCCGUAACUGGUCUGAGAGGAUGAUCAGUCACACUGGAACUGAGACGCGGUCCAGACUCCUACGGGAGGCAGCAGUGGGGAAUAUUGGACAGUGGGCGAAAGCCUGAUCCAACCGUGCCGCGUGUGUGAAGAAGGUCUUCGGAUUGUAAAGCACUUUAAGUUGGGAGGAAGGGCAGUAAGUUAAUACCUUGCUGUUUUGACGUUACCAACAGAAUAAGCACCGGCUAACUUCGUG
Molecule: ribosomal RNA, 484 nt
Filed under: uncultured bacterium
Lineage: Bacteria
Description: partial 16S ribosomal RNA
Rfam family: Bacterial small subunit ribosomal RNA
Source: RNAcentral